RNAcentral lists this ribosomal RNA (465 nucleotides) under uncultured bacterium. RNAcentral describes it as "partial 16S ribosomal RNA". It matches the Rfam family "Bacterial small subunit ribosomal RNA", at positions 338 to 795 of the family's 1533-position model. The record is from RNAcentral.
CCUACGGGUGGCAGCAGUGGGGAAUAUUGCGCAAUGGGCGAAAGCCUGAUGCAGCGACGCCGCGUGAGGGAUGAAGGUUUUCGGAUCGUAAACCUCUGUCAGAAGGGAAGAAGUUGCAUGUGGCUAACCACGUGUGCAUUGACGGUACCUUCAAAGGAAGCACCGGCUAACUCCGUGCCAGCAGCUGCGGUAAUACGGAGGGUGCGAGCGUUAAUCGGAAUUACUGGGCGUAAAGGGCACGUAGGCUGGAUGUCAAGCCAAGGGUGAAAUCCCACGGCUCAACCGUGGAACUGCCUUUGAAACUGGCAAACUGGAGUAUAGGAGAGGGCGGCGGAAUUCCUGGUGUAGCAGUGAAAUCCGUAGAUAUCAGGAGGAACAUCGGUGGCGAAGGCGGCCGCCUGGAAUGAAACUGACGCUGAGGUGCGAAAGCGUGGGUAGCAAACAGGAUUAGAUACCCGAGUAGUC